Molecule: non-coding RNA, 143 nt
Submitted as: unclassified sequences
Source: Rfam
UAUAGGUGCAGGUAGCAAUACGCUGUUUACUCAUGUAAUCGAAUUAACGUUUAAGCGAACUGUAAGCUCGCCGACCAUGAGGCAUAAUAUCGCCCCCUAGAAGUAAUCACCUGAUCAGUGAUGAAACUAGGGGUAUUUUUAUA